GAUCCUGGCUCAGGACGAACGCUGGCGGCGUGCUUAACACGUGCAAGUCGAACGAAGAGCGAUGGAAGCUUGCUUCUAUCAAUCUUAGUGGCGAACGGGUGAGUAACGCGUAAUCAACCUGCCCUUCAGAGGGGGACAACAGUUGGAAACGACUGCUAAUACCGCAUACGAUCCAAUCUCGGCAUCGAGACUGGAUGAAAGGUGGCCUCUAUUUAUAAGCUAUCACUGAAGGAGGGGA
RNAcentral lists this ribosomal RNA (238 nucleotides) under uncultured bacterium. RNAcentral describes it as "partial 16S ribosomal RNA". It matches the Rfam family "Bacterial small subunit ribosomal RNA", at positions 15 to 230 of the family's 1533-position model. The record is from RNAcentral.